This 66-nucleotide transfer RNA is filed under the name Cyclophorus martensianus. RNAcentral describes it as "tRNA-Thr". It matches the Rfam family "tRNA". Rfam says of the family: Transfer RNA (tRNA) molecules are approximately 80 nucleotides in length. Their secondary structure includes four short double-helical elements and three loops (D, anti-codon, and T loops). The record is from RNAcentral. Lineage: Eukaryota; Metazoa; Mollusca; Gastropoda; Architaenioglossa; Cyclophoridae.
GCAGUAGAAGCUUUGCUAAAGCAAUGGUUUUGUAAGUCAUAGAUGACAUUAAUUUGUCUUACUGUA